AAGGUACAACGGGUAGUUGCUUGAUUUAUUUCAAGAGGAAAGUCCGAGCUGCUCUAAGACAGUGUUCCAUUUAAUUAAUGGCCGUAGUAAUACGAGGGAAAGUGCAACAGAGAGUAGACUUCCGCCCAACGGCGGUAAAGGUGAAAGGGUGGUGUAAGAGACCACCAGUCUCUAUAGUAAUAUAGAGAGCUUGUAAACCCAACAUGGCAGCAAGAAACAGAUGGUCAGCGUCUUAGGGGUAAAAUUACAAUGUAAUCUUACUUAUGCUACUGUUUCGCUAGAGUUACUAUGUAAAUAGUAAAGUAGAUUAAUGCUACCAAAACAAAACUCGGCUUACUGUUGUACCUUUUUA
RNAcentral lists this RNase P RNA (352 nucleotides) under Sulfurimonas xiamenensis. Its description in RNAcentral is "RNase P RNA component class A". It matches the Rfam family "Bacterial RNase P class A". Rfam says of the family: Ribonuclease P (RNase P) is a ubiquitous endoribonuclease, found in archaea, bacteria and eukarya as well as chloroplasts and mitochondria. Lineage: Bacteria; Pseudomonadati; Campylobacterota; Epsilonproteobacteria; Campylobacterales; Sulfurimonadaceae. The record is from RNAcentral.